RNAcentral lists this ribosomal RNA (468 nucleotides) under uncultured bacterium. RNAcentral describes it as "partial 16S ribosomal RNA". It matches the Rfam family "Bacterial small subunit ribosomal RNA", at positions 28 to 507 of the family's 1533-position model. The record is from RNAcentral.
GACGAACGCUGGCGGCGUGCUUAACACAUGCAAGUCGAACGGAAAGGCCCUGCUUUUGUGGGGUGCUCGAGUGGCGAACGGGUGAGUAACACAUGAGUAACCUGCCCUUGACUUUGGGAUAACUUCAGGAAACUGGGGCUAAUACCGGCUAGGAGCUCCUGCUGCAUGGUGGAGGUUGGAAAGUUUCGGCGGUUGGGGAUGGACUCGCGGCUUAUCAGCUUGUUGGUGGGGUAGUGGCUUACCAAGGCUUUGACGGGUAGCCGGCCUGAGAGGGUGACCGGCCACAUGGGGACUGAGAGACGGCCCAGACUCCUACGGGAGGCAGCAGUGGGGAAUAUUGCACAACGGGCGGAAGCCUGAUGCAGCAACGCCGCGGGCGGGAUGACGGCCUUCGGGUUGUAAACCGCGUUCGCCUGUGACGAAGCGUGAGUGACGGUAAUGGGUAAAGAAGCACCGGCUAACUACGUG